AGGCCAUUUUAUAUCAGCAAUAUGAAGCAAAGAAUGAAAAAAAAAAAAAAGGUGGGAGCACCCCACCCAGCCCCCAUCUUCAGAGGCCUAUUUGGCAGUGACUGACAGUCACCACGUCAUUACGUUGACACACUGGUUGGAAGUCCCGCCUCCCGAUACGAGCACAGCAACCGGUUCCCAGAGUCUUUCAGAAGCCAGCAUUAGACUGGAGUACCAAUGGAAAGCUCAAUGAGGGGAGGCUGUAUGUAGCAAGGGUUUACCUUGGAAGUUGAAUAAAAGUUGUUUAUUUACAA
Pelobates cultripes (western spadefoot toad) is the source of this 293-nucleotide non-coding RNA. The record is from the annotation of a GenBank genome assembly. Lineage: Eukaryota; Metazoa; Chordata; Amphibia; Anura; Pelobatidae.